UAGCAGAGUGACUAGGGGUGGCAGUGGGGCAGGGGGAGCCUUCAGGGCAGAGAACAGCCUGUGUGAAGUCUCCCAUGAGUUUGCCAUAAACUUCAACCCCACCAACCCCUUCUGCUCAGGUGUGGAUGGUAUUGCCCAGGCGUACUCAGCUUGCCUGCCCCACAUUCGCUUCUACGGUCCUACCAAUUUCUCCCCCAUCGUCAACCACGUGGCCCGGUUUGCGGCCCAGGCCACACAGCAGCGGACGGCCACGCAGUACUUCAUUCUCCUCAUCAUCACGGAUGGGGUCAUCAGUGACAUGGAGGAGACGCGGCAUGCCGUGGUGCAGGCUUCCAAGCUGCCCAUGUCCAUCAUCAUCGUGGGCGUGGGCAAUGCGGACUUCGCUGCCAUGGAGUUCCUGGAUGGGGACAGCCGCAUGCUGCGCUCCCACACGGGGGAGGAGGCAGCCCGCGAUAUUGUGCAGUUUGUUCCCUUUCGAGAGUUCCGCAACGCAGCAAAAGAGACCUUGGCCAAAGCUGUGCUGGCGGAGCUGCCCCAACAAGUUGUGCAGUAUUUCAAGCAUAAAAACCUGCCCCCCACCAACUCGGAGCCCGCCUGAGCUCCAAUGCCCAGCAGCAGCAUGUCAGCUGAGCCUCCUGCCCUCCCCCAGGAGCAUGCACGCUCACCCUGCUUCCUUGUGGGUGGCCUUUUUUUACCGAUCCACAUUUUUAUUUUUUACAACCGGACCUCCACCCCCAACUUCCUCCAGCCCAGCUGGGCUUCCUUUGUUGGAGUCAACUGUUGAUGCUUCCAGGCCAAACUGGCUUCCUCUCCUCCUCUCCCCACCUUUGCCAUUCUUAAGUAUUGAAUGUACUUUGUAUAAUUUUAGUGGAAUUGUUAUUGAGAAUAAAAUUUUUACAAUCAUAA
RNAcentral lists this small RNA (906 nucleotides) under Pongo abelii (Sumatran orangutan). Its description in RNAcentral is "processed transcript". The record is from RNAcentral. Lineage: Eukaryota; Metazoa; Chordata; Mammalia; Primates; Hominidae.